Molecule: ribosomal RNA, 501 nt
Filed under: uncultured bacterium
Lineage: Bacteria
Description: bacterial SSU rRNA
Rfam family: Bacterial small subunit ribosomal RNA
Source: RNAcentral
GAUGAACGCUAGCGGCAGGCCUAACACAUGCAAGUCGAGGGGUAGAAUUAGCUUGCUAAUUUGAGACCGGCGCACGGGUGCGUAACGCGUAUGCAAUCUACCUUGUACAGGGGGAUAGCCCAGAGAAAUUUGGAUUAAUACUCCAUGGUAUAAUUGAAUCGCAUGGUUUGAUUAUUAAAGUUCCAACGGUACAAGAUGAGCAUGCGUCCCAUUAGCUAGUUGGUGUGGUAACGGCAUACCAAGGCGACGAUGGGUAGGGGUCCUGAGAGGGAGAUCCCCCACACUGGUACUGAGACACGGACCAGACUCCUACGGGAGGCAGCAGUGAGGAAUAUUGGUCAAUGGUCGGAAGACUGAACCAGCCAUGCCGCGUGCAGGAAGACGGUCCUAUGGAUUGUAAACUGCUUUUGUACGGGAAGAAACACUCCUUCGUGAAGGAGCUUGACGGUACCGUAAGAAUAAGGAUCGGCUAACUCCGUGCCAGCAGCCGCGGUAAUCACG